AUUGAACGCUGGCGGCAUGCCUUACACAUGCAAGUCGAACGGCAGCACGGGUGCUUGCACCUGGUGGCGAGCGGCGAACGGGUGAGUAAUACAUCGGAACAUGUCCUGUAGUGGGGGAUAGCCCGGCGAAAGCCGGAUUAAUACCGCAUACGAUCUACGGAUGAAAGCGGGGGACCCUCGGGCCUCGCGCUAUAGGGUUGGCCGAUGGCUGAUUAGCUAGUUGGUGGGGUAAAGGCCUACCAAGGCGACGAUCAGUAGCUGGUCUGAGAGGACGACCAGCCACACUGGGACUGAGACACGGCCCAGACUCCUACGGGAGGCAGCAGUGGGGAAUUUUGGACAAUGGGCGAAAGCCUGAUCCAGCAAUGCCGCGUGUGUGAAGAAGGCCUUCGGGUUGUAAAGCACUUUUGUCCGGAAAGAAAUCCUUGGCCCUAAUACGGUCGGGGGAUGACGGUACCGGAAGAAUAAGCACCGGCUAACUACGUG
This 486-nucleotide ribosomal RNA is filed under the name uncultured bacterium. RNAcentral's name for it is "partial 16S ribosomal RNA". It matches the Rfam family "Bacterial small subunit ribosomal RNA", at positions 30 to 507 of the family's 1533-position model. The record is from RNAcentral.